Molecule: ribosomal RNA, 253 nt
Filed under: uncultured bacterium
Lineage: Bacteria
Description: partial 16S ribosomal RNA
Rfam family: Bacterial small subunit ribosomal RNA
Source: RNAcentral
UACGGAGGGUGCAAGCGUUAAUCGGAAUUACUGGGCGUAAAGCGCACGCAGGCGGUCAAUUAAGUCAGAUGUGAAAGCCCCGAGCUUAACUUGGGAAUUGCAUCUGAAACUGGUUGGCUAGAGUCUUGUAGAGGGGGGUGGAAUUCCACGUGUAGCGGUGAAAUGCGUAGAGAUGUGGAGGAAUACCGGUGGCGAAGGCGGCCCCCUGGACAAAGACUGACGCUCAGGUGCGAAAGCGUGGGGAGCAAACAGG